This 301-nucleotide ribosomal RNA is filed under the name uncultured bacterium. Its description in RNAcentral is "partial 16S ribosomal RNA". It matches the Rfam family "Bacterial small subunit ribosomal RNA", at positions 509 to 809 of the family's 1533-position model. The record is from RNAcentral.
CAGCCGCCGCGGUAAUACAGAGGGUGCAAGCGUUAAUCGGAUUUACUGGGCGUAAAGGGCGCGUAGGUGGUUAUGUAAGUGAGAUGUGAAAUCCCCGGGCUCAACCUGGGAACUGCAUCUUAUACUGCGUAGCUGGAGUGCAGUAGAGGGUAGUGGAAUUUCCGGUGUAGCGGUGAAAUGCGUAGAUAUCGGAAGGAACACCAGUGGCGAAGGCGGCUACCUGGACUGACACUGACACUGAGGCGCGAAAGCGUGGGGAGCAAACAGGAUUAGAGACCCCCGUAGUCCCUGUCUCUUAUAA